This 492-nucleotide ribosomal RNA is filed under the name uncultured bacterium. RNAcentral's name for it is "partial 16S ribosomal RNA". It matches the Rfam family "Bacterial small subunit ribosomal RNA", at positions 29 to 507 of the family's 1533-position model. The record is from RNAcentral.
AGUGAACGCUGGCGGUAGGCCUAACACAUGCAAGUCGAACGGCAGCACAGUAAGAGCUUGCUCUUACGGGUGGCGAGUGGCGGACGGGUGAGGAAUACAUCGGAAUCUACUUUUUCGUGGGGGAUAACGUAGGGAAACUUACGCUAAUACCGCAUACGACCUACGGGUGAAAGCAGGGGAUCUUCUGACCUUGCGCGAUUGAAUGAGCCGAUGUCGGAUUAGCUAGUUGGCGGGGUAAAGGCCCACCAAGGCGACGAUCCGUAGCUGGUCUGAGAGGAUGGUAAGCCACACUGGAACUGAGACACGGUCCAGACUCCUACGGGAGGCAGCAGUGGGGAAUAUUGGACAAAGGGCGCAAGCCUGAUACAGCCAUACCGCGUGGGUGAAGAAGGCCUUCGGGUUGUAAAGCCCUUUUGUUGGGAAAGAAAAGCAGCAGGUUAAUACCCCGCUGUUCUGACGGUACCCAAAGAAUAAGCACCGGCUAACUUCGUG